CCUACGGGUGGCAGCAGUGGGGAAUAUUGGACAAUGGGGGGAACCCUGAUCCAGCGAUACCGCGUGAGUGAAGAAGUAUUUCGGUAUUUAACGCUCUAUCAGCAGGGGAGAAAAUGACGGUACCUGACUAAGAAGCCCCGGCUAACUACGUGCCAGCAGCCGCGGUAAGACGUAGGGGGCAAGCGUUAUCCGGAUUUACAGAGUGUAAAGGGGGUGUAGACGGUGCAGCAAGUCCGAGGGGAAAGGUCGGGGCCCAACCCCGGGACUGCAUUGGAAACUGUUGAACUAGCGAACAGGAGAGGUAAGCGGAAUUCAUAGUGUAGCGGUGAAAUGCGUAGAGAUUAGAAGGAACACCAGUGGCGAAGGCGGCUUACUGGACUGUAACUGACGUUGAGGCACGAAAGCGUGGGGAGCAAACAGGAUUAGAUACCCCAGUAGUC
RNAcentral lists this ribosomal RNA (440 nucleotides) under uncultured bacterium. RNAcentral describes it as "partial 16S ribosomal RNA". It matches the Rfam family "Bacterial small subunit ribosomal RNA", at positions 338 to 795 of the family's 1533-position model. The record is from RNAcentral.